AACACGUAUCCAACCUGCCGAUGACUCGGGGAUAGCCUUUCGAAGAAAGAUUAAUACCCGAUAGCAUAGUUCUUCCGCAUGGUAGAACUAUUAAAGAAUUUCGGUCAUCGAUGGGGAUGCGUUCCAUUAGGUUGUUGGCGGGGUAACGGCCCACCAAGCCUUCGAUGGAUAGGGGUUCUGAGAGGAAGGUCCCCCACAUUGGAACUGAGACACGGUCCAAACUCCUACGGGAGGCAGCAUG
RNAcentral lists this ribosomal RNA (241 nucleotides) under uncultured bacterium. Its description in RNAcentral is "partial 16S ribosomal RNA". It matches the Rfam family "Bacterial small subunit ribosomal RNA", at positions 112 to 353 of the family's 1533-position model. The record is from RNAcentral.